RNA transcript from Lagopus muta (rock ptarmigan), 1477 nucleotides. It is a transcript of the gene named valosin containing protein lysine methyltransferase, with no coding region annotated. The transcript has 5 exons. Lineage: Eukaryota; Metazoa; Chordata; Aves; Galliformes; Phasianidae. The record is from RefSeq and is a predicted model, not a curated record.
GUAGGAGGGGCCGCGCCGGCUCAGUCGCUGCGGCCAUGGCGAGCUUCGUGCGGGAGCUGGAGCGGCGGGCCGGGCCGGCGCUGCGCUUGGAGCAGCGGUCGGGCGGCGUGGGCUGCGUGGUGUGGGACGCGGCUCUGGUGCUCGCCAAGUUCCUGGAGAGCGGCGCGUGGCCACUGUCGCGCAGGGCCGUGCUGGAGCUGGGCGCGGGCACCGGCGCCGUCGGCAUCAUGGCGGCCACGCUGGGGGCCGACGUGACGCUCACCGACCUGCAGGAGCUGCAGGAGCUGCUGGCCGUCAACAUCGAGAACAACCGGCACCUGGUGACCGGGUCGGUGCGAGCCGAGGUACUGAAAUGGGGUGAGGACGUGUCCGAGUUCCGACCGCCCCCCGAUUACAUCCUCAUGGCCGACUGCAUCUACUAUGAGGAGUCCUUAGAGCCGCUGCUGAAGACGCUGCGAGAGCUGACCGGCCCCGAUACGUGUGUGCUGUGCUGCUAUGAGCAGAGGACCAUGGGGAGGAACCCCGAGAUUGAGAGAAGGUACUUCGAGGUGAGUGUCUGUGUUGUGUGCUUCAGGUGCAGCUCUUGGAAAGGGGAGAGAACGGCAGGACAGGGGGAAACGGUGUGAAGUUGAAGGAGGGAAGGUUGAGGUUGGAUGUCAGGGGAAGUUGUGUGCUGUGAGAGUGGUGAGGUGCUGGAACAGCUGCCCAGAGAGGCUGUGAUGCCCCGUCCAUCCCUGGAGGUGUUGAAGGCCAGGUUGGAUGGGGCCCUGGGCAGCCUGGGCUGCUAUGAAAUGUGGAGGUUGGUGGCCCUGCAUGGCACAGGGGGGUUGGAGCUUCGUGAUCCUUGAGGUCCCUUCCAAUCCAGGCCAUUCUGUCAUUCCAUGAUUCUGCAACUGCACAGGUUCUCAGGGCAGAGGCCUGAAGGGAAUACUGCACAGGUCACUCGUGCCUCUCUAACUUUUAAAUUACAGUGCAAGAAGCUUGGGGAUAAAGUUUUGUAUGAAAUACAAAUGAAGUCCAAGACCCCAUUGUCUGAUAGGCAAUGAUUGUUGUCCUGUGCUUGUAAACCAUAGUGAGGGUUCAUGGAAAAAUUUUUCUCUAUUCUGAUUUGAUGCUCUCAGAGUAAGAGUAAUGGGGGGUAUCAAAGAGAACAGUACCAGUACAUGUAAUGGAAGCUAUCAACUCAGUAAAUGAAGAUUUGUGUAAUUUUAAACAUAUUCACAUAAAGCACACCAAGACUGUUCUGUUGUCAAAAAAUGUACCAGAGGAUACUGAUAGAAAUAUCACAGAGAUGUAUCUUUUUCCAAGUAGUGUUCCUUUUGUUUUUUAAUUAGAAGGUGCUGCAGUAGCCAGUAGGUAGAGUGGAGCAGGAGGUACAGUGGUAACACAGGGCAAUAGAGAACAAAACAAAUAGACUUCUCUUCAAAACGUUUGUUUAAUUAUUUUCUCUCCUUAUUGUUUGUUAGUUCCACCUCAG